UACGUAGGGGGCAAGCGUUUAUCCGGAAUCACUGGGUGUAAAGGGUGCGUAGGCGGUUAUGCAAGUCAGAUGUGAAAUGUCGAGGCUCAACUUCGGAACUGCAUUUGAAACUGCGUGACUAGAGUACAGGAGAGGUAAGUGGAAUUCCUAGUGUAGCGGUGAAAAUGCGUAGAUAUUAGGAAGAACACCAGUGGCGAAGGCGACUUACUGGACUGAAACUGACGCUGAGGCACGAAAAGCGUGGGGAGCAAACAGG
This 256-nucleotide ribosomal RNA is filed under the name uncultured bacterium. Its description in RNAcentral is "partial 16S ribosomal RNA". It matches the Rfam family "Bacterial small subunit ribosomal RNA", at positions 524 to 776 of the family's 1533-position model. The record is from RNAcentral.